CCUUACGUGAAUACAUAGCGUGAGGAAGGCAGACCCAGGGAACUGAAACAUCUAAGUACCUGGAGGAAGAGAAAGAAAAAUCGAUUUCCUGAGUAGCGGCGAGCGAAACGGAAAGAGCCCAAACCAAGAAGCUUGCUUCUUGGGGUUGUAGGACACUCUAUACGGAGUUACAAAAGAAAGUUAUAAAUGAAGCGGUCUGGAAAGGCCCGCCAAAGACGGUAACAGCCCGGUAGUUGAAAUGGCUUUCCCUCCAGAGUGGAUCCUGAGUACGGCGGAACACGUGAAAUUCCGUCGGAAUCCGGGAGGACCAUCUCCCAAGGCUAAAUACUCCCUAGUGACCGAUAGUGAACCAGUACCGUGAGGGAAAGGUGAAAAGCACCCCGGAAGGGGAGUGAAACAGUUCCUGAAACCGUGUGCCUACAAGUAGUUAGAGCCCGUUAAUGGGUGAUAGCGUGCCUUUUGUAGAAUGAACCGGCGAGUUACGAUUUGUUGCAAGGUUAAGCGGAAAAAGCGGAGCCGUAGCGAAAGCGAGUCUGAAUAGGGCGCAUAAGUAACAGGUCGUAGACCCGAAACCAGGUGAUCUACCCAUGUCCAGGAUGAAGGUAAGGUAAUACUUACUGGAGGUCCGAACCCACGCACGUUGAAAAGUGCGGGGAUGAGGUGUGGGUAGCGGAGAAAUUCCAAUCGAACUUGGAGAUAGCUGGUUCUCUCCGAAAUAGCUUUAGGGCUAGCCUCGAGGUAAAGAGUCAUGGAGGUAGAGCACUGUUUGGACUAGGGGCCCUUCUCGGGUUACCGAAUUCAGAUAAACUCCGAAUGCCAUGUACUUAUACUCGGGAGUCAGACUGCGAGUGAUAAGAUCCGUAGUCGAAAGGGAAACAGCCCAGACCACCAGUUAAGGUCCCCAAAUAUAUGUUAAGUGGAAAAGGAUGUGGGGUUGCUUAGACAACCAGGAUGUUGGCUUAGAAGCAGCCACCAUUGAAAGAGUGCGUAAUAGCUCACUGGUCGAGUGACCCCGCGCCGAAAAUGUACCGGGGCUAAACAUAUUACCGAAACUGUGGAUGAACCUCUUUAGAGGUUCGUGGUAGGAGAGCGUUCUAAGGGCGGUGAAGUCAGACCGGAAGGACUGGUGGAGCGCUUAGAAGUGAGAAUGCCGGUAUGAGUAGCGAAAGAAGGGUGAGAAUCCCUUCCACCGAAUAUCUAAGGUUUCCUGAGGAAGGCUCGUCCGCUC
Molecule: ribosomal RNA, 1228 nt
Filed under: Listeria monocytogenes
Lineage: Bacteria; Bacillati; Bacillota; Bacilli; Caryophanales; Listeriaceae
Description: partial 23S ribosomal RNA
Rfam family: Bacterial large subunit ribosomal RNA
Source: RNAcentral